Molecule: long non-coding RNA, 736 nt
Filed under: Homo sapiens (human)
Lineage: Eukaryota; Metazoa; Chordata; Mammalia; Primates; Hominidae
Description: HSALNT0091704
Source: RNAcentral
CAGCCAUUUAGGAAAGAUUGGUGACCUAUCUGCAUGAUGGCAUUAACUACAAGGAUCAUCGAAGAGCCACAGUCACAAAGCCAGUCUCUGAAUAUGGUUCAAAGAAAUCUUAUAACUCUCUGAACAGAAGCAACCGAAUAUAUGGACCCCAUGACCCAGCUGUAUUAGUCUGUUCUCAUGCUGCUAAUAAAGACAUACCUGAGACUGCAUAAUUUAUAAAGGGAAGAGGUUUAAUGGACUCACAAUCAUGGCAGAAGGUGAAGGAGCAAAGGCAUGUCUUACAUGGUGGCAGGUAAGAGAACAUGUGCAGGAGAAUUGCCCUUUAUAAAACCAUCAGAUCUCAUGAGACUUAUUCACUAUCAUGAGAACAGCAUGGGAAAAUCUCACCCCCAUGAUUCAGUUACCUCCCACUGGGUCCCUCUCAUGACACGUGGGGAUUAUGGGAGCUGCAAUUCGAGAUGAAAUUUUCUUGGGGACAUAGCCAAAUCAUAUCAUUCCACCCCUGGCACCUCCCAAAUCUCAUGUCCCCACAUUUCAACGCCAAUCAUGCCUUCCCAACAGUUCCCCAAAGCCUUAACUCAUUUUAGCAUUAACUCAAAAGUCCACCAGUCCAAAGUCUCAUCUGAGAUAAGGCAAGUACCUUCCACCUAGGAGCCUGUAAAAUCAAAAGCAAGUUAGUUACUUUCUAGAUACAAUGGGGGUACAGACAUUGGGUAAAUAUACUAUUUCAAAUGGG